AUUGAACGCUGGCGGCAGGCCUAACACAUGCAGGUCGAGCGGUAACACAGGGAGCUUGCUCCUGGGUGACGAGCGGCGGACGGGUGAGUAAUGUCUGGGAAACUGCCUGAUGGAGGGGGAUAACUACUGGAAACGGUAGCUAAUACCGCAUACCGUCGCAAGACCAAAGAGGGGGACCUUCGGGCCUCUUGCCAUCAGAUGUGCCCAGAUGGGAUUAGCUAGUAGGUGGGGUAACGGCUCACCUAGGCGACGAUCACUAGCUGGUCUGACGGGAUGACCAGCCACACUGGAACUGGGACACGGGCCAGACUCCUACGGGAGGCAGCAGUGGGGAAUAUUGCACAAUGGGCGCAAGCCUGAUGCAGCCAUGCCGCGUGUAUGAAGAAGGCCUUCAGGUUGUAAAGUACUUUCAGCGGGGAGGAAGGCGAUAAGGUUAAUAACCUUGUCGAUUGACGUUACCCGCAGAAGAAGCACCGGCUAACUCCGUGCCAGCCGCCGCAGUAA
This 504-nucleotide ribosomal RNA is filed under the name uncultured bacterium. RNAcentral describes it as "partial 16S ribosomal RNA". It matches the Rfam family "Bacterial small subunit ribosomal RNA", at positions 30 to 523 of the family's 1533-position model. The record is from RNAcentral.